RNAcentral lists this ribosomal RNA (833 nucleotides) under uncultured bacterium. RNAcentral's name for it is "bacterial SSU rRNA". It matches the Rfam family "Bacterial small subunit ribosomal RNA", at positions 18 to 839 of the family's 1533-position model. The record is from RNAcentral.
CCUGGCUCCAGGUUGAACGCUGGCGGCAGGCCUAACACAUGCAGGUCGAGCGGAUGAGGGGAGCUUGCUCCCUGAUUUAGCGGCGGACGGGCGAGUAAUGCCUAGGAAUCUGCCUGGUAGUGGGGGAUAACGUUCCGAAAGGAACGCUAAUACCGCAUACGUCCUACGGGAGAAAGCAGGGGACCUUCGGGCCUUGCGCUAUCAGAUGAGCCUAGGUCGGAUUAGCUAGUUGGUGAGGUAAUGGCUCACCAAGGCGACGAUCCGUAACUGGUCUGAGAGGAUGAUCAGUCACACUGGAACUGAGACACGGUCCAGACUCCUACGGGAGGCAGCAGUGGGGAAUAUUGGACAAUGGGCGAAAGCCUGAUCCAGCCAUGCCGCGUGUGUGAAGAAGGUCUUCGGAUUGUAAAGCACUUUAAGUUGGGAGGAAGGGCAUUAACCUAAUACGUUAGUGUUUUGACGUUACCAACAGAAUAAGCACCGGCUAACUUCGUGCCAGCAGCCGCGGUAAUACGAAGGGUGCAAGCGUUAAUCGGAAUUACUGGGCGUAAAGCGCGCGUAGGUGGUUCGUUAAGUUGGAUGUGAAAGCCCCGGGCUCAACCUGGGAACUGCAUCCAAAACUGGCGAGCUAGAGUACGGUAGAGGGUGGUGGAAUUUCCCUGUGUAGCGGUGAAAUGCGUAGAUAUAGGAAGGAACCACCAGUGGCGAAGGCGACCACCCUGGACCUGAUANCUGAUCACUGAGGUGCGAAAGCGUGGGGAGCAAACAGGAUUAGAUACCCUGGUAGUCCACGCCGUAAACGAUGUCAACUAGCCGUUGGAAUCCUUGAGAUU